GAAAUGGUGAAUAUGGAAUAAAGUUUUUAACUGUAAAAUUCUCAAAACUCCAAUUUCCAAGUAGGAGGAAGGAUCUGCACUGAAGCCCUCUGAACCCUGGGAACAUGCUUCUGUAUGAUACUAAAUGCCACAUGCUGGACGGAGAGAGAGAGCAUACCCAUUGUUGAACUGCUGAAAACACUGUAUUUGAACAGCACUGGGUUCAUGUGGUUGAGGCAUUUCCCUUCAUUUCUCUGUGCUUUUCAGAGAAAACUUCUCUCCAUCAUAUGGCACAAAUACAGCAGGUCUGCCUUUUCACUUUGACUGUCCCACUUCUCAAGAAUAUACUAGAUCUAACCUGUCCAAACAUGAAGACUCUAGCACCAUCUCAAUUUCUUCCUUCUCUAGAGGCUCCAAAGUCCUGCAUACCCAGCCUUUGGCUCUCACAGGCAGGACUGCCCAUUCCAGAGAAGGUACAUCAACAAAAGAAGGUGAGUUCAUGCUGCCAAGAACAUCAGAGAGGAAAGAGACCAAGUCCACACUGGCCUACAGAUGGCUCUCUUCAAUCAGCUGACUCUCCCACCUCUUGCCCAGAAUUUUGCUUCAAUUUUAAGAACA
Molecule: long non-coding RNA, 597 nt
Organism: Mastomys coucha (southern multimammate mouse)
Lineage: Eukaryota; Metazoa; Chordata; Mammalia; Rodentia; Muridae
Exons: 3
Source: RefSeq, a predicted model, not a curated record